Molecule: ribosomal RNA, 301 nt
Filed under: uncultured bacterium
Lineage: Bacteria
Description: partial 16S ribosomal RNA
Rfam family: Bacterial small subunit ribosomal RNA
Source: RNAcentral
CAGUAGCCGCGGUAAUACGAAGGGGGCUAGCGUUGCUCGGAAUGACUGGGCGUAAAGGGCGCGUAGGCGGCUUGGUAAGUUAGAGGUGAAAGCCCGGAGCUCAACUCCGGAAUUGCCUUUAAGACUGCCGAGCUAGCAGGUGAGAGAGGUAAGUGGAAUUCCGAGUGUAGAGGUGAAAUUCGUAGAUAUUCGGAUGAACACCAGUGGCGAAGGCGGCUUACUGGCUCAUACUGGACGCUGAGGUGCGAAAGCGUGGGGAGCAAACAGGAUUAGAUACCCGUGUAGUCCCUGUCUCUUAUAC